RNAcentral lists this ribosomal RNA (504 nucleotides) under uncultured bacterium. Its description in RNAcentral is "partial 16S ribosomal RNA". It matches the Rfam family "Bacterial small subunit ribosomal RNA", at positions 30 to 523 of the family's 1533-position model. The record is from RNAcentral.
AUUGAACGCUGGCGGCAGGCCUAACACAUGCAAGUCGAACGGUAGCACAGAGAGCUUGCUCUCGGGUGACGAGUGGCGGACGGGUGAGUAAUGUCUGGGAAACUGCCCGAUGGAGGGGGAUAACUACUGGAAACGGUAGCUAAUACCGCAUAACGUCGCAAGACCAAAGUGGGGGACCUUCGGGCCUCACACCACCGGAUGUGCCCAGAUGGGAUUAGCUAGUAGGUGGGGUAAUGGCUCACCUAGGCGACGAUCCCUAGCUGGUCUGAGAGGAUGACCAGCCACACUGGAACUGAGACACGGUCCAGACUCCUACGGGAGGCAGCAGUGGGGAAUAUUGCACAAUGGGCGCAAGCCUGAUGCAGCCAUGCCGCGCGUAUGAAGAAGGCCUUCGGGUUGUAAAGUACUUUCAGCGGGGAGGAAGGCGGUGAAGUUAAUAACUUCACCGAUUGACGUUACCCGCAGAAGAAGCACCGGCUAACUCCGUGCCAGCCGCCGCCGUAA